AACGAACGCUGGCGGCAUGCCUAACACAUGCAAGUCGAACGAGACCUUCGGGUCUAGUGGCGCACGGGUGCGUAACGCGUGGGAACCUGCCCUUAGGUUCGGAAUAACUCCCCGAAAGGGGUGCUAAUACCGGAUAAUGUCUUCGGACCAAAGAUUUAUCGCCUUUGGAUGGGCCCGCGUUGGAUUAGCUAGUUGGUAGGGUAAAAGCCUACCAAGGCGACGAUCCAUAGCUGGUCUGAGAGGAUGGGCAGCCACACUGGGACUGAGACACGGCCCAGACUCCUACGGGAGGCAGCAGUGGGGAAUAUUGGACAAUGGGCGAAAGCCUGAUCCAGCAAUGCCGCGUGAGUGAUGAAGGUCUUAGGGUUGUAAAGCUCUUUUACCCGGGAUGAUAAUGACAGUACCGGGAGAAUAAGCUCCGGCUAACUCCGUG
This 433-nucleotide ribosomal RNA is filed under the name uncultured bacterium. Its description in RNAcentral is "partial 16S ribosomal RNA". It matches the Rfam family "Bacterial small subunit ribosomal RNA", at positions 29 to 507 of the family's 1533-position model. The record is from RNAcentral.